UACCAGAUUCUGUCAAGAAAAAGAGGCAUCCGAAAAAAGAGGGUAUAUUAGAGCUGUGUGUGUGUAUGUAAUGUAGGUGUUUGACGAAUUGUGUGAGCCAAAUAUAAAUAUGGGGUGAGUUUAGGGGAUCUGCUAGAUGAAGAAAACUUUAAUCCCCUAAAAAUUAUAAGGAAAUGGGAUAAGGGAUAGGUUUUGAACUUCUAGGAUAGGGGGUCUGCUAGAGAUGCUCUUAGAGAGGAUUCCCUUUGCAUAUAAACGUGCUCCCUAUAUUGUUUUCUUUCUUUAUCCGUUAUCACGCUACUCAAUACUCAUCCAAAAAAUUGCAAAUUCAACAGAAUGUCAAUGACACGGUAAAAUUCUAGCUAUGCCUACAUGCCAUGGAGCUCUUAACAAACAUCAAGUUUCAAGAAUGGUGCCCAAAUCAUCGCGAGAUGGACAAAUGGCUGGCACAAGGCAAACAGGAACCAUAAUGAGGACGCUGAUGAAUCCAAUAAAAUGCACGACACAAUCAUGUAUUUAGCUAACGAACUUUAACUUCUAAUUGGGCAAUAAGAGCAAUAGGCAUCAGAAAAAAAUAAUGACCACAAAUGUGAUCUCCCAGGGCAUAUCAAUAGUUCAUGACAGAUGAAAAAGGAUGAUCACACGUAAGUGGGUAUGAGAAUAUUACUUAC
Molecule: long non-coding RNA, 671 nt
Filed under: Hordeum vulgare
Lineage: Eukaryota; Viridiplantae; Streptophyta; Magnoliopsida; Poales; Poaceae
Description: long non-coding RNA (HVUL_LNC021045)
Source: RNAcentral